This 253-nucleotide ribosomal RNA is filed under the name uncultured bacterium. Its description in RNAcentral is "partial 16S ribosomal RNA". It matches the Rfam family "Bacterial small subunit ribosomal RNA", at positions 524 to 776 of the family's 1533-position model. The record is from RNAcentral.
UACGUAGGGUGCAAGCGUUGUCCGGAAUUAUUGGGCGUAAAGAGCUCGUAGGCGGUUUGUCGCGUCUGCUGUGAAAACUCGGGGCUUAACCCCGAGCCUGCAGUGGAUACGGGCAGACUAGAGGUAGGUAGGGGAGAAUGGAAUUUCCGGUGUAGCGGUGAAAUGCGUAGAUAUCGGAAGGAACACCAGUGGCGAAAGCGGCUUCCUGGUCCAGCACCGACGUUCAGGCACGAAAGCGUGGGGAGCAAACAGG